UAAUCAGUAUUUAUAGACCCGAACCCUGGUGAUCUAACCAUGGCCAGGAUGAAGCUUGGGUAAAACCAAGUGGAGGUCCGAACCGACCGAUGUUGAAAAAUCGGCGGAUGAGCGGUGGUUAGGGGUGAAAUGCCAAUCGAACCAGGAGCUAGCUGGUUCUCCCCGAAAUGUGUUGAGGCGCAGCGGUAAUGAAAAAAUUGGGGGGUAAAGCACUGUUUCGGUGCGGGCUGGGAGACCGGUACCAAAUCGAGGCAAACUAAGAAUACCCAAGGAUCACAUUGCCAGUGAGACGGUGGGGGAUAAGCUUCAUCGUCAAGAGGGAAACAGCCCAGACCACCAGCUAAGGUCCCCAAAUCAUCACUAAGUGAAAAAGGAGGUGGGGUUGCAAAGACAACUAGGAGGUUUGCCUAGAAGCAGCCACCCUUGAAAGAGUGCGUAAUAGCUCACUAGUCAAGCGAUCCUGCGCCGAAAAUGAAAGGGGCUAAGUGAUGUACCGAAGCUGUGGGAUUAGAAAUAAUCGGUAGGGGAGCGUUCCGUAGUAGUGAGAAGCAGUAGCGGCAAGCAGCUGUGGACGAGACGGAAGUGAGAAUGUCGGCUUGAGUAGCGCAAACAUUGGUGAGAAUCCAAUGCCCCGAAACCCUAAGGGUUCCAGAGGCAGGUUCGUCCACUCUGGGUUAGUCGGGACCUAAGGCGAGGUCGAAAGGCGUAGUCGAUGGAGACCGGGUCAACAAUCCCGGACUACAAUAUGGGAGCAGAACUAGGGACGCAUGAAAGAUAGCCACACCCUGAAUGGAUUGGGAAGACCGUUACGACGGUCGAGUGGUGAAGGAAAGUGCCAAGAAAAGCUAGGGUUGUGAUGAACAUAUAGUACCCGUACCCGAAACCGACACAGGUAGGGAGGUUGAGAAUACCAAGGGGCGCGAGAUAACUCUCUCUAAGGAACUCGGCAAAAUGGCCCCGUAACUUAGGAAGAAGGGGUGCCUGCCGAAAGGCAGGUCGCAGUGAAGAGAUCCAGGCGACUGUUUACCAAAAACACAGGUCUCCGCCAACUCGAAAGAGGACGUAUGGGGGCUGACGCCUGCCCAGUGCCGGAAGGUUAAGGAAGUUGGUCAGUGGAAACAUGAAGCUGACGACCGAAGCCCCGGUGAACGGCGGCCGUAACUAUAACGGUCCUAAGGUAGCGAAAUUCCUUGUCGGGUAAGUUCCGACCCGCACGAAAGGCGUAACGAUCUGGAUGGUGUCUCAGAGAGAGACUCGGCGAAAUAGGAAUGUCUGUGAAGAUACGGACUACCUGCACCUGGACAGAAAGACCCUAUGAAGCUUUACUGUAGCCUGGAAUUGUGUUCGGGCUUGGCUUGCGCAGGAUAGGUGGGAAGCGAAGAACUUCUCCUUGAGGGGGGAAGGGAGCUAACGGUGAGAUACCACUCUGGCGAAGCUAGAAUUCUAACUAAUCACCGUAAGCCGGUGAGAGGAAAGUUUCAGGUGGGCAGUUUGACUGGGGCGGUCGCCUCCUAAAAGGUAACGGAGGCGCGCAAAGGUUCUCUCAGCACGCUUGGAAACCGUGCGACGAGUGUAAAGGCAAAAAGAGAGCUUGACUGCAAGACCAACAAGUCGAGCAGGGACGAAAGUCGGCCUUAGUGAUCCGACGGCGCAGCAUGGAAUGGCCGUCGCUCAACGGAUAAAAGUUACUCUAGGGAUAACAGGCUGAUCUCCCCCAAGAGUCCACAUCGACGGGGAGGUUUGGCACCUCGAUGUCGGCUCAUCGCAACCUGGGGCGGAAGUACGUCCCAAGGGUUGGGCUGUUCGCCCAUUAAAGCGGUACGUGAGCUGGGUUCAGAACGUCGUGAGACAGUUCGGUCCAUAUCCGGUGCAGGCGAAAGAACAUUGAGAGGAGUCCUCCUUAGUACGAGAGGACCGGGAGGAACGAACCGCUGGUGUACCAGUUAUUCCGCCAGGAGUAGACGCUGGGUAGCCAAGUUCGGAGAGGAUAACCGCUGAAAGCAUCUAAGUGGGAAGCCCACCUUAAGAUGAGUGUUCUCACUACGAGAGUAGGUAAGGUCACGGG
RNAcentral lists this ribosomal RNA (2065 nucleotides) under Cylindrospermopsis raciborskii C04. RNAcentral describes it as "bacterial LSU rRNA". It matches the Rfam family "Bacterial large subunit ribosomal RNA", at positions 697 to 2840 of the family's 2925-position model. The record is from RNAcentral. Lineage: Bacteria; Bacillati; Cyanobacteriota; Cyanophyceae; Nostocales; Aphanizomenonaceae.